GUCCACGCCUUAAACUAUGAAUACUAAGUGUCGGCGGGUUACCGCCGGUGCCGCAGCUAACGCAUUAAGUAUUCCGCCUGGGAAGUACGGCCGCAAGGUUGAAACUCAAAGGAAUUGACGGGGGCCCGCACAAGCGGUGGAGCAUGUGGUUUAAUUCGACGCAACGCGAAGAACCUUACCCAGGCUGGACAUGCAGGUAGUAGAAUGGUGAAAGCCUAAACGAGGUAGCAAUACCAUCCUGCUCAGGUGCUGCAUGGCUGUCGU
This 264-nucleotide ribosomal RNA is filed under the name uncultured bacterium. Its description in RNAcentral is "partial 16S ribosomal RNA". It matches the Rfam family "Bacterial small subunit ribosomal RNA", at positions 793 to 1055 of the family's 1533-position model. The record is from RNAcentral.